This 1527-nucleotide ribosomal RNA is filed under the name Klebsiella pneumoniae. RNAcentral describes it as "bacterial SSU rRNA". It matches the Rfam family "Bacterial small subunit ribosomal RNA". The record is from RNAcentral. Lineage: Bacteria; Pseudomonadati; Pseudomonadota; Gammaproteobacteria; Enterobacterales; Enterobacteriaceae.
AGAGUUUGAUCAUGGCUCAGAUUGAACGCUGGCGGCAGGCCUAACACAUGCAAGUCGAGCGGUAGCACAGAGAGCUUGCUCUCGGGUGACGAGCGGCGGACGGGUGAGUAAUGUCUGGGAAACUGCCUGAUGGAGGGGGAUAACUACUGGAAACGGUAGCUAAUACCGCAUAAUGUCGCAAGACCAAAGUGGGGGACCUUCGGGCCUCAUGCCAUCAGAUGUGCCCAGAUGGGAUUAGCUAGUAGGUGGGGUAACGGCUCACCUAGGCGACGAUCCCUAGCUGGUCUGAGAGGAUGACCAGCCACACUGGAACUGAGACACGGUCCAGACUCCUACGGGAGGCAGCAGUGGGGAAUAUUGCACAAUGGGCGCAAGCCUGAUGCAGCCAUGCCGCGUGUGUGAAGAAGGCCUUCGGGUUGUAAAGCACUUUCAGCGGGGAGGAAGGCGGUGAGGUUAAUAACCUCAUCGAUUGACGUUACCCGCAGAAGAAGCACCGGCUAACUCCGUGCCAGCAGCCGCGGUAAUACGGAGGGUGCAAGCGUUAAUCGGAAUUACUGGGCGUAAAGCGCACGCAGGCGGUCUGUCAAGUCGGAUGUGAAAUCCCCGGGCUCAACCUGGGAACUGCAUUCGAAACUGGCAGGCUAGAGUCUUGUAGAGGGGGUAGAAUUCCAGGUGUAGCGGUGAAAUGCGUAGAGAUCUGGAGGAAUACCGGUGGCGAAGGCGGCCCCCUGGACAAAGACUGACGCUCAGGUGCGAAAGCGUGGGGAGCAAACAGGAUUAGAUACCCUGGUAGUCCACGCCGUAAACGAUGUCGAUUUGGAGGUUGUGCCCUUGAGGCGUGGCUUCCGGAGCUAACGCGUUAAAUCGACCGCCUGGGGAGUACGGCCGCAAGGUUAAAACUCAAAUGAAUUGACGGGGGCCCGCACAAGCGGUGGAGCAUGUGGUUUAAUUCGAUGCAACGCGAAGAACCUUACCUGGUCUUGACAUCCACAGAACUUUCCAGAGAUGGAUUGGUGCCUUCGGGAACUGUGAGACAGGUGCUGCAUGGCUGUCGUCAGCUCGUGUUGUGAAAUGUUGGGUUAAGUCCCGCAACGAGCGCAACCCUUAUCCUUUGUUGCCAGCGGUUCGGCCGGGAACUCAAAGGAGACUGCCAGUGAUAAACUGGAGGAAGGUGGGGAUGACGUCAAGUCAUCAUGGCCCUUACGACCAGGGCUACACACGUGCUACAAUGGCAUAUACAAAGAGAAGCGACCUCGCGAGAGCAAGCGGACCUCAUAAAGUAUGUCGUAGUCCGGAUUGGAGUCUGCAACUCGACUCCAUGAAGUCGGAAUCGCUAGUAAUCGUAGAUCAGAAUGCUACGGUGAAUACGUUCCCGGGCCUUGUACACACCGCCCGUCACACCAUGGGAGUGGGUUGCAAAAGAAGUAGGUAGCUUAACCUUCGGGAGGGCGCUUACCACUUUGUGAUUCAUGACUGGGGUGAAGUCGUAACAAGGUAACCGUAGGGGAACCUGCGGUUGGAUCACCU